Molecule: RNA transcript, 9594 nt
Organism: Bombus pascuorum
Lineage: Eukaryota; Metazoa; Arthropoda; Insecta; Hymenoptera; Apidae
Exons: 14
Source: RefSeq, a predicted model, not a curated record
UAGAUUAUACAUGUCAUGUCAUAGUUAAAUAUAAGUAUGGCGCAGGGCGUUGGCAUGUGUUGUGUCUUGUCACUGUUUCGAUCGAUAAUUAGUUUGAGUAUUCAAGUUGAUCACUUAAUAUCACCUACUUCUUGUGUUAACAAAUUUUGCGCAUCUUUUCUUUUAUACAUUACCUUUUAAAGAUUGUCGCUAUUACGUCCACAGAAAGGAAGGUUGACUAAAAAGGACAAAGAGAUUGAGGUUAUAUAAGGUUUUCGUUUUGACAGACGCGAGGCGCGAGCUCCGAUAACCGUGGUGGGAUGGUAAAGGAGGAGAUUAAAAAGUCGAACAGCAGAGAACGACGUUGUCGUUAGUUGAGUGGACUAGUUCAAGUUCGUAGCUUGCAUAUUUUGUUGGACUUAAGUGUUCUUGUUAUUCAUUAUUUAUUUAAUGCUAUAAAAAAGUUGUUUGUGUCAGAUAACAGAUAAAGUGAACGAUUCGAAAUGGAUGAUAAAAAAACAGAACACAUUGUCAUGACACCAAAAUGUAAGACUGCAAAUUCUACAACUAUUAUAAUAGAAAGGCAGGCUUUAGAACCGCCAACAGAAAAUGGAAAUGAAAACAAUGUUCAUAUUGCUGGAGGAGAUCACAAAGGAAUAGUUAUUAAUAAACAAGCAAUUGCUGUUACAAAUGGUGAAAUUCAUCCAGCACAUCUUUGCUUACAAUUCAGAGUAUUCUUAGUGAGUGCCCAAAGUGGAAAACAUACACAAGAAUCUAGAACUCUUCAGUUUUGGUUUGUAGAUACACUUUCAGAAGCUGAACACCCAAGUGUGGCACAAGAAUUCUUCAGAGAAUUAGUUACACCUCAAGAAUUUCCAAGAGAUUAUGUUGGAUUUAUCAAGAAAAUAAUGAAACUAAUGUUGCAUAAGUAUUCUACAAUUAAAAAGAUAGAAGUAGAAUUAAAACAGCUUGAAGAACCAGUUAAUCUUCCAACUAGACCAUCUGAUACUGGUCAUAUACUGUUCACAGUUCUUCCAUAUAAGAAAAUUAGUUGGAAAUCAGUAUCAACAGAUGAGACAGUUAUUGGUCAGCUAGUUGAACUGACUUUAGAAAAAGUGUUGGAACUUAUUGAAUCUGCUUAUCCAAAUCCAAUUACAGUGACUGAUAUAGCAAAAGAACAUGGUUGGGAUCCUUCUGCUGUCGAAAUAAAAUUAAAAGAAUUACAAGAGAAGGGUGUUGUUAAAGCGAUGGAGCAUGGAGCUUUUACUAGAGUUGUACACCAAGAUACCCAAAUUCAAGUCGUAAAACAAAUGCCAACAAUGGCGAGUGCAAAACAACCUACUAUAGCAAUUAUUACUGCACAGUAUUGUGAAAAGUUGGCCGUUGAUUCUAUGAUUGAAAACAAAGAAACAUUUGUUCGUUAUACUACUGUUGGUACGGCAAGCUCACCUGAUGCGACAGAUGGAGUACCGCGAGUGACAUGUCGUUUUGGUGAGUCAAAUGUUUACACAUUAGGUAAUAUUGGUGCACACAGAAUUGUAUGCACAAAGUUACCAACUGUAGGUCAUACAAGAGAAGCAAUGACUGCAGCAGGAAAUACAACUACCAGAUUAUUAGGUACAUUUCAGAAAGUUGAUUUCGUUUUCUUAAUUGGAAUUGGAGGAGGUGUACCACAUUAUACAGAUUAUAAUAAACACGUGCGACUUGGUGAUGUGGUUAUAUCUUAUCCUGUUCCUCUUAAUAAAAAGUAUAUUUAUGUCUAUUGUGAAAGUGCAAAGACAAAUGAGGGUGGAGAUUAUCAUUUUGAAACCAAAGAAUAUUGCCCACCAAAUUUAUGUCUUCAAGAAAUUGCUGUUAAUCUUAAAGAUCAGUCAGAGAAUGAGACAAAUCCUCCAUGGCAAACGUACCUGAAGGAAGGUUCAGAUAUUUUAACCAAUCAGACGGAGCAUGAUUUUAAACCACCUCCACCAGAGUCUGAUAAGUUAUACAUGGCUAUUGGCGAAAGAGAUGUUAUUGAAGUUGCACAUCCUACUGCACCUGCAGAUGCGGCGAAUAAAAGAACAAAUGGCUGUCCACGAAUUCACUUAGCACCUGUAGCAUCUGGUAGACAUAUUGCACGGGAUGAUCAGCUUAGACAGAAAUUUGCAGCCCGAUUUGGAGCCCUUGCCUUUGAUGCAGAGAUGGAUGCUGUAGUCGAAAGUAUUUUGGGUAAUUGUCGUGAAAGUUUUGCCGUUAUUCGUGGUAUUUCUGAUUAUAAAGAUGGCUCUCGUAUAAAGGAAUGGCAGCCUUACGCGUCCUUAGCUGCUGCUAGUGUAAUGAAAUCUAUUAUUUGUGCUAUGGACCCACCUACUAAUGUGUAAUACAUAAUUUCUGAUGCUCGUUUUAUUUCAUUCCGGACAGCAUUUUAUGUGAUAGUUGGUAAAAGUAUCAUCAUUUCGUGUCUUUUAUAUCGUAUCGUCGAUUUUUCAGUGCAAAGUGGACCAACUUCUUUUAUUGGUUAAGAGCAAUCGUUGUUUCAAUUAGCGCACAAACAGCAUAAUUCAGAAUUACUUAAGGAAUAGUUUUUUCUUCUUUUUCUCUUGUAUUUUUUAAAUCGUAUUUAAUGUGAUAUGGAUCAGUUAUUUACUUGAUAAGCAGGAGAAAAUAAGAUCGUGACCAAAUAUAUAAUGGUCAUAAAGUAAGAUGCACCAAGUGCAUUUUAAUUAAAGAGAAUUAUAGUUAAUAUGAAUGAUUUUAAUCUAGUGACUUUAGAAUCAAGGACAAUUCAAUUUCACGUUUCCAAAUCGUUUUCAAAGAAUUUCCAAACUGCUAAAAAGAUGGAAUAUGUAUUUGAUUGAUAAAAGUGCUAGCUUACUUUUAAAAUUUAUUUCAAUAUGGCUAUUUGAAAAAUAUUUUUACAAUUUUUAUAUCUAAAUAUAACUUCAAUAUUAUUUAAUAAUAUAUUUAUAAUAUCGAUGCAUCGAUUAUUGCUACACUUAUUCAUUUUCUAACGUAUUAUAACAUCAAUUUUAUAUAAUGUGAUGGAAUAUUAAUGUAUGGUUUUGCAGAAUUAUUCAUAUAGUCUUUGUACUUUUCAUAUCUUGCCUAUUGCCUAUUGUAUUUAUUUAAGUAUAAUAUCGAGAAAUUUGUAUGUACUCAAGAAAAAUCAGUUCAAUGAUUCUAAAAUUGGUGCCAUCUUUAUCCUUUCGAACACAAGAUUAUCAAAAAAUGUUUACAUAAUGGAUUUUUUUGAAAUGAAGGAACUAUACUUUUGAAAUAAUUACGUAAUUUAAAUUAUAACAAUGAGGCUCUUGAUUAUCAAAUAUUAGCAGACAGGAUCCGAAAUAACGUAGGUGUGGGAACCACAGAAAGCUUUAAAUAAAGUCACGGUAUAGUCAGCAAAAUAAUUUAGAUGUAGAAUAUAUCUAAGAGUAAGGGCAGAAAAUACAUUUGGCAGUAUUUAUCUGAACACAAUCAAAUUAUCAUUCAAAAAGUAAUUGUCCUACAAACUAUUAUAUGUUUGUCAGAGUAUAUUACCAUUUCACACAAGUCUGUCCGCUUUCUCCAUGGAGCGUAUAGUAAAUAUAUCUAUACAUUCAAAUUUGAUGAAAGGAAGAAAUAUAAAUAAAUAAUGCCGCCCAAAACUUUAAUCGUAUUUCAAAGGAGGUUAAGAAUUUGAUCUUAAUAGUUAUAUUAUUAAUUAUUAUUAUAAAAUAUGUUUGUUUUCUAAUGUGUUAUGAUUUUGAAUGAAAGAUGUAUGAUUUUGAAACAAGUAUAGAUUUUUGUUUCUUAACAAAUUUUAAUUUGAUUCCUGAGUUACAGCAAAAUAUUUGCAUAUACAGGCUGUGUCCUCUAGGAUUAAUCACUAUUUUUCAGACAUUUCUAAUAAUUCAUCAAAGAAAUGUUUUGAACAAAAGUUAGUAAGUUUUCGGUUCACUACAUAUUUGCAUAUUAAAAAUUUCCAAAAAUUUUUUCCAAUAAAAAAGUCAAGAGCACCAUAUGUUUUGAAUUUCAUGGAGUUGUAGUUUGCGUCAAAAUGAAUUCAACGGUCUACUAUAGAAUGACUGAGAUGACUUUGCAUUCAGAAACUAAUAAAUUAAACAAAUCUAACGAUAACAAUCAUACCGUUUUGCAUUACACGUUACAAUGUACUAUUACUAAAUUUCUGAUUUUCAGCUCAUUUCAAAGUUAGUUCAAGAUGAUAGUAUAGUAGGUCGUUGAAUUCGUCUUGAUGUCAAUUAUAAUUCUGUGAAGUCCAAAAUAUAUGGUGCUAUUUAAAGAAGUCAACAAUUUUUUGGAAAUGUUUAAUAUCCAAAUGUGUAGCACAUUGAAAACUGAUUAACUUUUGCUCAGCAAAUUUUUUGGUAGAUUGUCGAAAAUACCUAAAAGAUGGUGUUUAAUCUUAGAUAUAUCCUGUAUAGAAUAUACGCUAUAUAAAAUAUAAUAAUAUUAAAAACGUGUACAUAUUUAUAUUAUAAUAACUCAUUUCUAAAUUAUGAAAUAUUUUGUUUUAGUAUAUGAUUUCUGAGUGCAGAAAUCGAUAUAUUUAUUUUUAUAAUGUUCUUUAUAAAGUUUAUUAUUAUUUUGCUAUUACGUUGCUGUCGCUACUUUGACAUUUGUAAAUGUACAUCUAUUUUUUUUUACUCAGAAUUCUUAACGUAGACCAAUUUUUAUUCAACUACAAUUAUAUAAUUAGCACUUUAACAUAAAUGGUAACAUGGAGAAAAGAUGUUGGUCAGGAUAUGUAGAAUGCUGGAUAGAACUCAUUUUUUUCUGCAAAGUUUGUUAAAAUGUGUCUAUUGUUGUUACAGCAUAUUUAAAAUCUGUUACAACUUUAUAGUUUAUCUUUUUGUACUAUAUUUAGAGAUACACAUAAUUUGUCAUGUACAUAUUUUGUAUAUUUAUGAAAUAGAUCAUCUUUACAUGUUUCCAAAUGAUAAACGAUUCGCUACAGAUGGUUGUGAUUACAUGUUUGUGCUUCAUUAUCUUAAAAUCAGCUUAACUGUUUCCUCUUCUUGCUAUUGCAUAUUCAUAUAUUCCAAUUGUAUAGCCCUACAAAAUCAAAUUGUUGAUACAUAUAAUAAAUCGGUACACAUUCUCAUAAGUAAACAAUAUAUAAUAUUUAAAUGUUUUUGUUAUCAUUUUAAACAAUUAUUAUUUAAAAAUGAGUAUAAAUUUUAGAGUCAAAUGAAGUACGUGUGGAAUUUCCUUUAUAUUAUGUGUCUUUUUCACUUUUACGGUGGAUAGUUUAUGAGAUAUCAAUACAUACAUAGCCAAUAUUAUUAAAUUAUAUUUAUAUUUCAGAAGUAACUAUUUGUGGAUAUAUAUGUAUGUAUUUUAAAAGAUAUCGUUUUUUAAAAUUAUUAGAUACCGUUAAUCAGAGAUUUCACGGUCAUUGUAUGUGUAAAAUAAGACUUUUAUUUUUCAUAUAUAGUUUUCUUCGUUGCUUCUGUGCAAUAUAUUGUUGCACCUCGCACAUAUAAAUUUUUUCCUUAUUUUAAAUCGUACUUUUCCAUCUAUUUUCUUUGAUUCUGUCUCCUCUAUCACGUUGCCAAAGUAGAUUAUGUCUAUGAUAAAUAAUCCAAAGUCUAAUUUUAAUAGAUUUAACCAAAUUUUAUCAAUUAACCGAAUUAUUAUGAAUUAUGCAUUUUUCUAACACAGAGUAUAAAAGUAUUAUAAAUAUUUUAAAUUUGCUAGAUUUGAUUUUCAGUUUUGUUCUAACUUCUUUGGUGCGAUUAAACGUUUGGGCGAUGAUAUAUGCACCAAAUAUAUUAAAAAUUGUACAAUUAAUUAACAUUAAUUAAAGUGCCAAUGUGUUCAAUAUAUUUGGGUAGUGCAGAAAUAAGAUAGGUUUUUCUGGAAGAUGAACGAAUAUCUUUAUGUUAUCAUUCAAUUCUAUCUCGAUCCAUUUGUUUCAUCACUACUGUAAUUUAUUUGGUAUUAGAAGCAAUUGUUACAGUAAUAAUUAUAUAUAACAAUAUUUGGGAAGAAAUAAGUUUUUUCUUUCGAGAAUGUUUUAUUCGUUUAUCUUCUAGAUUAAUAUUGCUGUCGUCUGCAUUAGAGACCAACAUUACUGAAUUCUACUGCCUAUUUGAAAUUCCAAUAUGGAUAUUCAAAUACUUGAAAAUUGUUUUAAAAAGAAUUCGAUAAUAUCUAAGCUUUGUUAAUAACUUUAAAUGUAAUUUCCUCGCAUUUUAUCGUCUUUAUAGAUUCUAAAGCACAGGGUAGUAUACGAGAACUCUAUAUUUAAGUGACAUUGAAAUAUUCAAUUCGAGCAUAAAUCUAAAAACUUAGGAAAGUAGUAUAUAUACAUUUAAAUAUACCUACAUACGUAUCGUUAGUAGCAUUAAAACCUUCCAAUUCUAACAUCAUGGUGAUAAUCUGCAAAUUUUACAAGUGACAUUGGUCGAGUUAUUUCAAUGAUACUUGACCGCUAAUCAAAAGUCAUUAUUUAUUUAUUUAUUUAUUUAUUUAUUCAUUCAUUCAUCCUUUACAUUUGAAACAAUUGCAUUGUUUGGCGCGUUCCACUAAAUUGUUAAAAUACGUCUAGGGAAUUUUACUUUUCUUUCGAAAAUGCUAUUUUAUAUUGUUUUAAAUAUAUGCGCGCGUGGACGUGCAAACAGAGGAAAAAGAUAACGAUGUGUAAAAGAUUUCUAACGGUAGGAAGGGCCUCAGGUCAAUUUAAUCGAUGAAAAGUAUCACUUGUUGCGUAGAAGCACAUUUUUAAGAAAAUUCUAUGAAAUAUAGAGAGUAUCAGCUAUCAAAUAUAUAUGUACGUAUUAUUAUGAAUAUAGUCAAAUACGUAUAGGUAUAUAUCUCUAUUUCAAAUAUUUAGUAUAUGAUACAUAAUAUAAUAUAUAAAUCGUGAAUUCUAUUACGUGGUGAAACAUUAAAUUCAAUUUACCUGAUAAUACAGAUUCCUAUGUAAGGCCUAAAUAUUAUGUACGAAAGGAACAAAACUUUGUUACAUAUUGUGUUUUAAGCGACGAGGUUUUCAACCUCGAGCUUCCAAAAUAUCUAUGUAUUUACAUAUAUUUACGUUAGUAUUACGCGCUUUCAACACUAGUCGCACUAUUGUGUUUUCCGUCUAUUUAUAUGUAGGUAUGUUUUAAAUUGCAAAUACUACUGCAUACGCAUACAUAUAUAGUGUAUAACUACGUCCAUUUAAUUUAUAUUUCAAAGAAAUUUUAUUAGCAUCUAUAAUGAACAUAUAAUCGCAAUGGAUUUCAAUUUUGUCCGUUCAGAGAAAUGAUUUCGAAUAUUAGCAUCUCAUUUCGAUGUCUAAGCCACAGAAACUGUUUUCUCCAUUAUUUCACGCCGUUUCGCAAACUGAACGUUUAUACGAUUCCAGUUUAACAACUGGCAAAUGUACUUGUGAAUGCUUAUUUAGUACAUAGUGUGCGAUGAAGUGAGCUUGAAGACUUCAGAAAUGAGAAAUUUAUGCUUCUAGCUUGUAAUCCGAGUAGUCUUCCGGCCAAAAAAUUAUUAAUCACGAAUGUCUUUAAGUAAGACCUUGGCAUUUGAGUUUUGGUGUUAUCUGUCUCGAAUACGAAAAAAUGCCUGAUGUGGUCAGAUGGUAAAAUGGGUAUUACCAAAAUGUUUUCACAAUACGUUUCUCUGAUAUCUUUCUCUAAUUUAAGUAGACACAUUUAUUAUGGGAAAGCUAUGCAUAUAUGUGUAAGAUAAGUCGAGUUGUUUUCCAAAUUUUCGAAUGUUUCUUUACUAGAUACGAAACUCUUUUGCUUUUUUAUUUGUCGUUUUUCUUUUCUUUUAUCAAGAUUAUCGCUUCUUUAGGGACUUUCAAUUUGUUUCUUACGAAUUGAUAUUAAAUUCAUUCUUUUAUGAUUAAGAAUUACUCAUUUGAAUCUAAUAAACAUCUAAAUCUAACAAAAUUCCAUUAGAAGUUAUUUAGGUAAUUUUAAUAAAUAAUUUCGACAAAUACAUAAUAGAAAAUAAAGAGUUGAGUUUACAUUUUUCUCGACGAUAAUUUUACAAUUUGAUUUUUCUAAAAUAGAAUGUUCACCUACAUGUACUUCGUAUCACGUUCGAUUAUCUAUAUAUUGAGAUUAUACAGGGUGUCCUAAUAUUGACAAUAAAACCAAUACAUAAAAUAAUAAGUGGAAAAUAUAGAAUAAUUUGCUUUUCAUCUGAUGCUUUGUUUUCGAGAAAAUUGUUCUUGAAAAUUAUUAUUAUUUGUUUUUGAAUAUAAGUAAACAAUCAGCAGGAGGGUAUUCUACGUGCGGAAAUAAAUGUAAAAUGUUGAAUAAUAUUUUUCGUUUAAGAUCAAGUUUCCAAGAAAAUAGACUCUGAACAUGUGUAGGUCAGAAUUGGCCUGGUGCAGGUGUAAUAGAUUAAUUUUCAAAUUACUUGGAAAUGAAGAGUUUUCCGAAAAAAAUAUUAUUUUACAUUUUUAACUUAUUUUCAUCUGUAGAGUAGCCUCUUAUCGAUUAUUCGUUCCUAUCUAGCUUGAAAGUAGUCAAGAUUAAAUAUAGUUGACAUAUGUUCAAGUUCGAUUUUUUUGAAAGCAGGCAUCAUAUGAAAAAAUCUUUUUCUAUAUUUUCCAUUUGCUUUUUCGCGUAGAAUCAUUUCCUUGUCGAUUGUACCACCAAUGCUGAGACAUCUUGUAUACAAAUAUUAGAAUUUAUAUAUUUAGGUGUCAUUAAUUUCGCGAAAUUAAUUUCUACGUAUUGUUACUUUGAAAUAAAAUUUUAUAAUAUUGCACUGACUAUAGAGAACAGAAUUACAAAAUUUUAAAAAAGCUGAUCGUAUUUAAAGUUAUGAAUUAUUCGACAAAUAUUCUGGUUGUACCCAUGACCAAUGGCAUUUUGCUAGAAUUGUAAUGUCUACAGGGGAAAAGUAAAGAAAUUGUUGUAUCUAAUAGUAAGUUACUUCACCGCGGAAGAGAAACUGUGAUACUAUCUGGACUUUUCUGCGUGAAGUAAGAUAAUAGGUGGAAAGAGCCAUAGUAUAAAAUAAAUCGGUUCCAUAGCAUUUGAUUUUGUUACGAAAUAGAUCGUUAAGGAAGUAUUGUAAAACUGAAAAACAGAAGAACGAACGUAUCGCUGAAGUCUUAUUAGAAGAAGUUCAAUAGAGAUAUAUAGUAAGCUCUGGAAGCAAAGAACCAAACAGUAUCGUAUACUUUUGUUUAUUACGAGCAUUUUUUAUUACAAUUAAUUUUUUCUUAAAAAUGGUGAUGACAAUUAUGCAAUAAUAUUGUACGUAAAAGUGUUACACAUGAUGUGUUUAUCAAGUAAAAUUUGAUAUUUAGUUGCAUACAAUCUGUACAAUAACAAAUUGUCUUUAUCGGUUGAAUGAUUAGAAGAAAUUUUAACUUUAAAUUUUAUUCCAUGUUUUAACAUAUUAAUAUAGUAGAAAUAUAUAUUAGGAGUGAUAAAUAAUUUUUUAAAAACAGUUUAAUAUAUAAAUACUUUAUAAACACAUCGUGUAAUUUACGUUUUUCUGUAAUGCAAUGUUGCAAAAACUGCAUGUAUUGUUACAUAACUCUUAUGUAAGUUAUAGACAACUACUUUUAGUUUAAAUUAAUGAAAACUUUUCGUGGUGUAAAAUUCACUUUUAUGUAAUAAGAGCUCUGGUAUUUGAUGGAAAAAUCGUUUCAAUAAAUAGAGGUCCAUUGUU